Molecule: ribosomal RNA, 485 nt
Filed under: uncultured bacterium
Lineage: Bacteria
Description: partial 16S ribosomal RNA
Rfam family: Bacterial small subunit ribosomal RNA
Source: RNAcentral
AUUGAACGCUGGCGGCAGGCUUAACACAUGCAAGUCGAGCGGGGAAAGGUAGCUUGCUACCUAACCUAGCGGCGGACGGGUGAGUAAUGCUUAGGAAUCUGCCUAUUAGUGGGGGACAACAUCUCGAAAGGGAUGCUAAUACCGCAUACGUCCUACGGGAGAAAGCAGGGGACCUUCGGGCCUUGCGCUAAUAGAUGAGCCUAAGUCGGAUUAGCUAGUUGGUGGGGUAAAGGCCUACCAAGGCGACGAUCUGUAGCGGGUCUGAGAGGAUGAUCCGCCACACUGGGACUGAGACACGGCCCAGACUCCUACGGGAGGCAGCAGUGGGGAAUAUUGGACAAUGGGGGGAACCCUGAUCCAGCCAUGCCGCGUGUGUGAAGAAGGCCUUUUGGUUGUAAAGCACUUUAAGCGAGGAGGAGGCUACCGAGAUUAAUACUCUUGGAUAGUGGACGUUACUCGCAGAAUAAGCACCGGCUAACUCUGUG